GGAUAACAGAUAUUUUCAUAAGCCCACCAAAAUCCAAAAUAUGCAAAAGAAGAUGUCAUCUUUGGUUGAUGAGAAACAAAAAAAACCAAAAAACACAGCCGCAACUGAACUCCUCAGUAGCUCAGCUCUCUCUCCCUCCCUAAAAUCCCUCAAAUGUUGCAGACCCAACACCUUCUCCUUUCCAAUUUCCCCAUCUUUCUCUCUCAUCCCCAAACCAACUUUCUCUCACCUCCCAAUCUCUCACCUUUUCCUCUCACUUUUCUCCACAAACCCACCAGUCUCUGCCCUGUCUCAGCCCAUUCCAGAGCCGGACCCGAACAAUGGCUAGCCGAAGCUCCAGAACCCACCACCGCGACCCCAUACACUCCCUUAGAAUUUGCUCCAGACGGUCCCGAAGAAUUGCCACCGUCUUCUUCUCCAGUGUUUGCCACCAAUGAUGACCCUUCAUCUCUCCAAGUGGCCACCAGUGUUCUUCUCACAGGUGCCAUCACUGUCUUCCUCUUUCGCUCGCUGCGACGCCGUGCCAAGCGUGCUAAAGAACUGAAAUAUAGGUCAUCUGGAGUGAAGAAGUCAUUGAAGGAUGAGGCUUUGGAUAGCUUGAAAGCACUGUCUACAGGUUCUGUUGAAGCAAAGGGUCCACCGUCACCUGUUCAGGCGUUGUUGGGUGGAAUAUCAGCCGGCGUCAUUGCACUUAUUCUUUAUAAGUUCACUACUACAAUUGAAGCAUCUCUCAACCGCCAAACUAUUUCUGAUAAUUUUUCGGUUCGUCAGAUUACAAUAACCAUAAGGACCAUUAUAAAUGGGUUAUGCUACCUUGCAACAUUUGUGUUCGGCAUCAAUGCUGUGGGUUUAGUCCUUUAUGCUGGUCAGCUCGCCAUCAACUCUAUCAUGGAAGAUAUAAAUGAAGACACUCAGACUCAAGGUGAGGAGCAGUCAGGCUCACUGAAUUCAACGGUUGAAAGCCCCACAAAUAGUGGUGAGAACAGCAAUAAGGAUGAUCAAGAUUCAGAUGGAACACAAUAGAGUAGAACCAACAUUGACGCAGAAGCAGGUUUUGUCAUUUCAACUUAUUUCUAGGAGUGGAAUUUGAAUCAAGCCUGUGCAAAACCAACACCAUGGUCACUGAGCAAACAAACAUUGGAAUCGGACCAAAAAUCCAAAGCAGCACAGUAGUGGCAAAGUAGAUAGCUCUUAGCCCCAAUGUCCAGAACAAGCCUCCACUUAUCACCGCCUUCUCGACAUGCUCCUGAGGAAUAUCACUGUCUGGCAUACUGAUGAGGAAAUUGGCAUGAACAAAGUCUCUUAUACAAUGUAAAAAAGAAGCUAAGGCCAGCAGGAAGCAGGCCAGAAUGCUAAUAUAUUUGACGGAAACUAGCAUAGGACUUGUGUCGCCGUAUGUAAUACUGCUCGUGAAGACAUUGUGCGAAGAGUUUCCAAUCCAUGCUCCGAUGAGAGAGCUUAAGGCUAGAGAGGUUGAGGCUAAGAAAUUUGCUGCUGUUGUGGUGCUAGAGAUUACUGCUAGGGACAUACCUCUGUCCUUUGCAUCAACCUGCAAUUAAUUAAAGACCAAAUAGAGUUAUAUAC
Molecule: RNA transcript, 1584 nt
Organism: Malus domestica (apple)
Lineage: Eukaryota; Viridiplantae; Streptophyta; Magnoliopsida; Rosales; Rosaceae
Source: RefSeq, a predicted model, not a curated record